Non-coding RNA from Pan troglodytes (chimpanzee), 44 nucleotides. The record is from Rfam. Lineage: Eukaryota; Metazoa; Chordata; Mammalia; Primates; Hominidae.
UUAAUGGCUCUUUUCAGAGCCAUUAUUUUACUUGAAGUUUGCUG